UAUUGGACAAUGGGGGAAACCCUGAUCCAGCCAUGCCGCGUGUGUGAAGAAGGCCUUAUGGUUGUAAAGCACUUUAAGCGAGGAGGAGGCUACUCUAGUUAAUACCUAGGGAUAGUGGACGUUACUCGCAGAAUAAGCACCGGCUAACUCUGUGCCAGCAGCCGCGGUAAUACAGAGGGUGCGAGCGUUAAUCGGAUUUACUGGGCGUAAAGCGUGCGUAGGCGGCUUGUUAAGUCGGAUGUGAAAUCCCCGUGCUUAACUUGGGAAUUGCAUUCGAUACUGGUGAGCUAGAGUAUGGGAGAGGAUGGUAGAAUUCCAGGUGUAGCGGUGAAAUGCGUAGAGAUCUGGAGGAAUACCGAUGGCGAAGGCAGCCAUCUGGCCUAAUACUGACGCUGAGGUACGAAAGCAUUGGGAGCAAACAGG
RNAcentral lists this ribosomal RNA (423 nucleotides) under uncultured bacterium. Its description in RNAcentral is "bacterial SSU rRNA". It matches the Rfam family "Bacterial small subunit ribosomal RNA", at positions 362 to 776 of the family's 1533-position model. The record is from RNAcentral.